UUCGACACACUAUCAUUAACUGAAUCCAUAGGUUAAUGAGGCGAACCGGGGGAACUGAAACAUCUAAGUACCCCGAGGAAAAGAAAUCAACCGAGAUUCCCCCAGUAGCGGCGAGCGAACGGGGAGGAGCCCAGAGCCUGAAUCAGUGUGUGUGUUAGUGGAAGCGUCUGGAAAGGCGCGCGAUACAGGGUGACAGCCCCGUACACAAAAAUGCACAUGCUGUGAGCUCGAUGAGUAGGGCGGGACACGUGGUAUCCUGUCUGAAUAUGGGGGGACCAUCCUCCAAGGCUAAAUACUCCUGACUGACCGAUAGUGAACCAGUACCGUGAGGGAAAGGCGAAAAGAACCCCGGCGAGGGGAGUGAAAAAGAACCUGAAACCGUGUACGUACAAGCAGUGGGAGCACAGAGCAAUCUGUGUGACUGCGUACCUUUUGUAUAAUGGGUCAGCGACUUAUAUUCUGUAGCAAGGUUAACCGAAUAGGGGAGCCGAAGGGAAACCGAGUCUUAACUGGGCGUUAAGUUGCAGGGUAUAGACCCGAAACCCGGUGAUCUAGCCAUGGGCAGGUUGAAGGUUGGGUAACACUAACUGGAGGACCGAACCGACUAAUGUUGAAAAAUUAGCGGAUGACUUGUGGCUGGGGGUGAAAGGCCAAUCAAACCGGGAGAUAGCUGGUUCUCCCCGAAAGCUAUUUAGGUAGCGCCUCGUGAAUUCAUCUCCGGGGGUAGAGCACUGUUUCGGCAAGGGGGUCAUCCCGACUUACCAACCCGAUGCAAACUGCGAAUACCGGAGAAUGUUAUCACGGGAGACACACGGCGGGUGCUAACGUCCGUCGUGAAGAGGGAAACAACCCAGACCGCCAGCUAAGGUCCCAAAGUCAUGGUUAAGUGGGAAACGAUGUGGGAAGGCCCAGACAGCCAGGAUGUUGGCUUAGAAGCAGCCAUCAUUUAAAGAAAGCGUAAUAGCUCACUGGUCGAGUCGGCCUGCGCGGAAGAUGUAACGGGGCUAAACCAUGCACCGAAGCUGCGGCAGCGACGCUGAUGCGUUGUUGGGUAGGGGAGCGUUCUGUAAGCCUGUGAAGGUGUGCUGUGAGGCAUGCUGGAGGUAUCAGAAGUGCGAAUGCUGACAUAAGUAACGAUAAAGCGGGUGAAAAGCCCGCUCGCCGGAAGACCAAGGGUUCCUGUCCAACGUUAAUCGGGGCAGGGUGAGUCGACCCCUAAGGCGAGGCCGAAAGGCGUAGUCGAUGGGAAACAGGUUAAUAUUCCUGUACUUGGUGUUACUGCGAAGGGGGGACGGAGAAGGCUAUGUUGGCCGGGCGACGGUUGUCCCGGUUUAAGCGUGUAGGCUGGUUUUCCAGGCAAAUCCGGAAAACUAAGGCUGAGGCGUGAUGACGAGGCACUACGGUGCUGAAGCAACAAAUGCCCUGCUUCCAGGAAAAGCCUCUAAGCAUCAGGUAACAUCAAAUCGUACCCCAAACCGACACAGGUGGUCAGGUAGAGAAUACCAAGGCGCUUGAGAGAACUCGGGUGAAGGAACUAGGCAAAAUGGUGCCGUAACUUCGGGAGAAGGCACGCUGAUAUGUAGGUGAAGUCCCUCGCGGAUGGAGCUGAAAUCAGUCGAAGAUACCAGCUGGCUGCAACUGUUUAUUAAAAACACAGCACUGUGCAAACACGAAAGUGGACGUAUACGGUGUGACGCCUGCCCGGUGCCGGAAGGUUAAUUGAUGGGGUCAGCGCAAGCGAAGCUCUUGAUCGAAGCCCCGGUAAACGGCGGCCGUAACUAUAACGGUCCUAAGGUAGCGAAAUUCCUUGUCGGGUAAGUUCCGACCUGCACGAAUGGCGUAAUGAUGGCCAGGCUGUCUCCACCCGAGACUCAGUGAAAUUGAACUCGCUGUGAAGAUGCAGUGUACCCGCGGCAAGACGGAAAGACCCCGUGAACCUUUACUAUAGCUUGACACUGAACAUUGAGCCUUGAUGUGUAGGAUAGGUGGGAGGCUUUGAAGUGUGGACGCCAGUCUGCAUGGAGCCGACCUUGAAAUACCACCCUUUAAUGUUUGAUGUUCUAACGUUGACCCGUAAUCCGGGUUGCGGACAGUGUCUGGUGGGUAGUUUGACUGGGGCGGUCUCCUCCUAAAGAGUAACGGAGGAGCACGAAGGUUGGCUAAUCCUGGUCGGACAUCAGGAGGUUAGUGCAAUGGCAUAAGCCAGCUUGACUGCGAGCGUGACGGCGCGAGCAGGUGCGAAAGCAGGUCAUAGUGAUCCGGUGGUUCUGAAUGGAAGGGCCAUCGCUCAACGGAUAAAAGGUACUCCGGGGAUAACAGGCUGAUACCGCCCAAGAGUUCAUAUCGACGGCGGUGUUUGGCACCUCGAUGUCGGCUCAUCACAUCCUGGGGCUGAAGUAGGUCCCAAGGGUAUGGCUGUUCGCCAUUUAAAGUGGUACGCGAGCUGGGUUUAGAACGUCGUGAGACAGUUCGGUCCCUAUCUGCCGUGGGCGCUGGAGAACUGAGGGGGGCUGCUCCUAGUACGAGAGGACCGGAGUGGACGCAUCACUGGUGUUCGGGUUGUCAUGCCAAUGGCACUGCCCGGUAGCUAAAUGCGGAAGAGAUAAGUGCUGAAAGCAUCUAAGCACGAAACUUGCCCCGAGAUGAGUUCUCCCUGACUCCUUGAGAGUCCUGAAGGAACGUUGAAG
This 2687-nucleotide ribosomal RNA is filed under the name Escherichia coli. RNAcentral describes it as "partial 23S ribosomal RNA". It matches the Rfam family "Bacterial large subunit ribosomal RNA". The record is from RNAcentral. Lineage: Bacteria; Pseudomonadati; Pseudomonadota; Gammaproteobacteria; Enterobacterales; Enterobacteriaceae.